Molecule: ribosomal RNA, 454 nt
Filed under: uncultured Prevotella sp.
Lineage: Bacteria; Pseudomonadati; Bacteroidota; Bacteroidia; Bacteroidales; Prevotellaceae
Description: partial 16S ribosomal RNA
Rfam family: Bacterial small subunit ribosomal RNA
Source: RNAcentral
ACGGGAGGCAGCAGUGAGGAAUAUUGGUCAAUGGGCGGAAGCCUGAACCAGCCAUGUCGCGUGCAGGACUACGGCCCUACGGGUCUUAAACUGCUUUUGCAAGGGGAUAAAGUGGGGCACGCGUGCCCCUUUGCAGGUACCUUGCGAAUAAGGAUCGGCUAACUCCGUGCCAGCAGCCGCGGUAAUACGGAGGAUCCGAGCGUUAUCCGGAUUUAUUGGGUUUAAAGGGAGCGUAGGCCGUGCUUUAAGCGUGUUGUGAAAUGUAGGCGCCCAACGUCUGCACUGCAGCGCGAACUGGAGCACUUGAGUACGCAGGAAGUAGGCGGAAUUCGUCGUGUAGCGGUGAAAUGCUUAGAUAUGACGAAGAACUCCGAUUGGGAAGCCAGCUUACUGUAGCGCCACUGACGCUGAUGCUCGAAAGCGUGGGUAUCGAACAGGAUUAGAUACCCUGGUA